This 233-nucleotide long non-coding RNA is filed under the name Vigna radiata. Its description in RNAcentral is "long non-coding RNA (VRAD_LNC015181)". Lineage: Eukaryota; Viridiplantae; Streptophyta; Magnoliopsida; Fabales; Fabaceae. The record is from RNAcentral.
GUAAGGUUGAGAGAAAUUUGCACAGAUAAUUUUAUCCUGGUUCGGAUCACACGGAUCCUACGUCCAGUCGCUUAUCUCAAACAAGAUAAACCUUUUUCACUAUCACAAAACAAUUACAAAUAUUAAUCACAGAGAAAAACAAUUUGUAAGAGUUUAGAAAUACCACCUCUCUUGAAACCACAAGAGAUGAACUUACACCUCCUUUGAAUCUUCACAAAGGAUGACCACCUCCU